CCUACGGGUGGCAGCAGUGGGGAAUAUUGGGCAAUGGAGGCAACUCUGACCCAGCAACGCCGCGUGAAUGAUGAAGGUCUUCGGAUUGUAAAGUUCUUUUCUAAGGGAAGAAGAAAGUGACGGUACCUUAGAAAUAAGCCUCGGCUAACUACGUGCCAGCAGCCGCGGUAAUACGUAGGAGGCAAGCGUUAUUCGGAAUGACUGGGCGUAAAGGGUGCGUAGGUGGGUUGACAAGUUAAGAGCGAAACCCCGGAGCUCAACUUAGGAACUACUAAUAAAACUGGUGGACUUGAGUGCGGGAGGGGCAAGUGGAAUUCCUAGUGUAGCGGUGGAAUGCGUAGAUAUUAGGAGGAACAUCAGUGGCGAAGGCGGAUUGCUAGACUGUAACUGACACUGAGGCACGAAAGCGUGGGGAGCAAACAGGAUUAGAUACCCUAGUAGUC
Molecule: ribosomal RNA, 443 nt
Filed under: uncultured bacterium
Lineage: Bacteria
Description: partial 16S ribosomal RNA
Rfam family: Bacterial small subunit ribosomal RNA
Source: RNAcentral